This 253-nucleotide ribosomal RNA is filed under the name uncultured bacterium. Its description in RNAcentral is "partial 16S ribosomal RNA". It matches the Rfam family "Bacterial small subunit ribosomal RNA", at positions 524 to 776 of the family's 1533-position model. The record is from RNAcentral.
UACGUAGGGGGCAAGCGUUGUCCGGAAUCAUUGGGCGUAAAGAGCGUGUAGGCGGCUCGAUAAGUCUGCUGUGAAAGUCCAGGGCUCAACCCUGGAAGGCCGGUGGAAACUGUCGGGCUAGAGUCCGGAAGAGGCGAGUGGAAUUCCCGGUGUAGCGGUGAAAUGCGCAGAUAUCGGGAGGAACACCAAUGGCGAAGGCAAUCCCCUGGGCCUGCACUGACGCUGAGACGCGAAAGCGUGGGGAGCGAACAGG